AUGGUAAAACAAAAAAAAAAGAGCUUACAAUUUUUCAUCCACGGCAACACUUGUGAAAAUAGAAUUGCUGCAGAGUGUGCCAAUGAAAAACGCCACUGUGGAGUGUGCCAAAAGCAGAUUUGCCUGUCUACUUCUUGCAAUGUCAAAGAUGGUUUUAAGGUAUACGCUACACACUUAAAUGUACAUUAUCAUGUUUAUUUUUGUCGAAGGAGUUUGCUUUCACCGAUAGCCCAGUUGGAUUGA
Non-coding RNA from Vicia faba (fava bean), 243 nucleotides. NCBI's taxonomy places the organism in Eukaryota, Viridiplantae, Streptophyta, Magnoliopsida, Fabales, Fabaceae. The record is from the annotation of a GenBank genome assembly.